This is a long non-coding RNA of Myotis brandtii (Brandt's bat), 803 nucleotides long. RefSeq lists it as uncharacterized. The record is from RefSeq and is a predicted model, not a curated record. The transcript is spliced from 3 exons. Lineage: Eukaryota; Metazoa; Chordata; Mammalia; Chiroptera; Vespertilionidae.
GUCCUCUUCAAGGUGCUUUAGAAAUUAUUAAAAAGAUGGAAGUGUUGUUUCAGUGCUCACCCAAUGAAGCUCCUCACUGUCAGGAGGCCAGUCUGGUGUGAGCUGCUCUCCUUGGCCCUGGCACUAGCUGAGGAAAGGCCCUGGAUCAAAGAUGUCCUGGCAGCAAGAAUAUUCACACCCACUCUUGAGCCAGGAGGGUUUGACUGGCAGCAGUGGUGGAUUCUGACGUAGACUGAGCUCGAAAUGUGCUUGCUUCCUCUCCAAAACUGAGGCCCAUUUGCACAACAAGCAAAAAGGACAAGGUCAGCGGUCUCCAGUCCCGAGGUCAUCGCUCAUCAAGAGGGGAUAAUCCCAAGGACAGCAGGACCUGCUUCAUCCCUUGGAUUUAGAGGGAGAAACCCAUCAGGCCACCAAACAGUAACAAUGACCCACCAUUAAACACACCGAGAGAAGAGCGUGAUGAGGAAUUUGUACAAGAAAAGUCCAGGAGUUCUUGCUGACAAUGUCUGACCACAGUGAGCUCUGCCCAUUGAACUGCAAUAAAAACUCUCCCCCUCCCCAGAGUUGUGUGGAUGUGGACACAGUUCAGGCAAUGGGCUCUGCCUGGAUAUAACAGGCUGAAAAGAAUUUGGACUGUGGGGGUCAGAUAGACCUGGGUUUGAAUUGUUAUUCUGCCACUUCUCUCUAGUAUGCUUUGGCAACAUUUGAAAAUCUCUGCCUCAUUUUUUCUUAUCUGCAAAAAAGUAGCUGAGACCUACACUGGGUCUUUUAAGAGGAUCAAAUACAACAGUGUUUGAAAAGCA